Molecule: ribosomal RNA, 446 nt
Filed under: uncultured bacterium
Lineage: Bacteria
Description: partial 16S ribosomal RNA
Rfam family: Bacterial small subunit ribosomal RNA
Source: RNAcentral
GCCAGACUCCUACGGGAGGCAGCAGUGGGGAAUAUUGCACAAUGGGGGAAACCCUGAUGCAGCAACGCCGCGUGAGUGAAGAAGUAUUUCGGUAUGUAAAGCUCUAUCAGCAGGGAAGAAGAAAGACGGUACCUGACUAAGAAGCCCCGGCUAACUACGUGCCAGCAGCCGCGGUAAUACGUAGGGGGCAAGCGUUAUCCGGAUUUACUGGGUGUAAAGGGGGCGCAGACGGCGAUGCAAGCCAGGAGUGAAAGCCCGGGGCCCAACCCCGGGACUGCUCUUGGAACUGCGUGGCUGGAGUGCAGGAGGGGCAGGCGGAAUUCCUGGUGUAGCGGUGAAAUGCGUAGAUAUCAGGAGGAACACCGGUGGCGAAGGCGGCCUGCUGGACUGCAACUGACGUUGAGGCCCGAAAGCGUGGGGAGCAAACAGGAUUAGAUACCCCAGUA